GGCAGCAGUGGGGAAUCUUCGGCAAUGGGCGAAAGCCUGACCGAGCAACGCCGCGUGAAUGAUGAAGGCCUUCGGGUUGUAAAAUUCUGUUAUAAGGGAAGAACGACUUUAGUAGGAAAUGGCUAAAGUGUGACGGUACCUUAUGAGAAAGCCACGGCUAACUACGUGCCAGCAGCCGCGGUAAUACGUAGGUGGCAAGCGUUAUCCGGAAUUAUUGGGCGUAAAGAGCGCGCAGGUGGUUGAUUAAGUCUGAUGUGAAAGCCCACGGCUUAACCGUGGAGGGUCAUUGGAAACUGGUCGACUUGAGUGCAGAAGAGGGAAGUGGAAUUCCAUGUGUAGCGGUGAAAUGCGUAGAGAUAUGGAGGAACACCAGUGGCGAAGGCGGCUUCCUGGUCUGUAACUGACACUGAGGCGCGAAAGCGUGGGGAGCAAACAGGAUUAGAUACCCUGGUAGUCCACGCCGUAAACGAUGAGUACUAAGUGU
Molecule: ribosomal RNA, 484 nt
Filed under: uncultured Bacillota bacterium
Lineage: Bacteria; Bacillati; Bacillota
Description: bacterial SSU rRNA
Rfam family: Bacterial small subunit ribosomal RNA
Source: RNAcentral